UGGGGAAUCUUCCGCAAUGGACGAAAGUCUGACGGAGCAACGCCGCGUGUAUGAUGAAGGUCUUCGGAUUGUAAAGUACUGUCAUUGGGGAAGAACGGUUUUCUUGAAAAGAUUGAGAAGACAUGACGGUACCUAGGUAAUAGCACCGGCUAACUCCGUGCCAGCAGCCGCGGUAAUACGGAGGGUGCGAGCGUUACCCGGAUUUACUGGGUGUAAAGGGCGUGUAGGCGGUUUCUCAAGUCCGAUGCUAAAGACCGAAGCUCAACUUCGGGAGUGCGUUGGAUACUGUGAGGCUAGACGGUCGGAGAGGGUAGCGGAAUUUCCUGAGUAGCGGUGAAAUGCGCAGAUACAGGAAGGAACGCCAAUAGCGAAAGCAGCUACCUGGACGAUUUGUGACGCUGAGGCGCGAAAGCGUGGGGAGCAAACC
This 427-nucleotide ribosomal RNA is filed under the name uncultured bacterium. RNAcentral describes it as "bacterial SSU rRNA". It matches the Rfam family "Bacterial small subunit ribosomal RNA", at positions 355 to 774 of the family's 1533-position model. The record is from RNAcentral.